GACUCCUACGGGAGGCAGCAGUGGGGAAUUUUGCACAGUGGGCGCAAGCCUGAUGCAGCGACGCCGCGUGGGGGAUGACGGCCUUCGGGUUGUAAACUCCUUUCGCUAGGGACGAAGCUUUUGUGACGGUACCUAGAUAAGAAGCACCGGCUAACUACGUGCCAGCAGCCGCGGUAAUACGUAGGGUGCGAGCGUUGUCCGGAAUUACUGGGCGUAAAGGGCUCGUAGGUGGUUUGUCGCGUCGUCUGUGAA
This 252-nucleotide ribosomal RNA is filed under the name Nostoc sp. UCD122. Its description in RNAcentral is "partial 16S ribosomal RNA". It matches the Rfam family "Bacterial small subunit ribosomal RNA", at positions 334 to 598 of the family's 1533-position model. Lineage: Bacteria; Bacillati; Cyanobacteriota; Cyanophyceae; Nostocales; Nostocaceae. The record is from RNAcentral.